CAGUAGCCACGGUAAAACGAAGGGUGCAAGCGUUACUCGGAAUUACUGGGCGUAAAGCGUGCGUAGGUGGUGGUUUAAGUCCGUUGUGAAAGCCCUGGGCUCAACCUGGGAAUUGCAGUGGAUACUGGGUCACUAGAGUGUGGUAGAGGAUAAUGGAAUUUCCGGUGUAGCAGUGAAAUGCGUAGAGAUCGGAAGGAACAUCUGUGGCGAAGGCGACUAUCUGGGCCAACACUGACACUGAGGCACGAAAGCGUGGGGAGCAAACAGGAUUAGAUACCCCUGUAGUCCCUGUCUCUUAUAC
Molecule: ribosomal RNA, 301 nt
Filed under: uncultured bacterium
Lineage: Bacteria
Description: partial 16S ribosomal RNA
Rfam family: Bacterial small subunit ribosomal RNA
Source: RNAcentral